Molecule: ribosomal RNA, 425 nt
Filed under: uncultured bacterium
Lineage: Bacteria
Description: partial 16S ribosomal RNA
Rfam family: Bacterial small subunit ribosomal RNA
Source: RNAcentral
GUGGGGAAUCUUGCGCAAUGGGCGAAAGCCUGACGCAGCCAUGCCGCGUGGAUGAUGAAGGUCUUAGGAUUGUAAAAUCCUUUCACCGGUGAAGAUAAUGACUGUAGCCGGAGAAGAAGCCCCGGCUAACUUCGUGCCAGCAGCCGCGGUAAUACGAAGGGGGCUAGCGUUGCUCGGAUUUACUGGGCGUAAAGGGCGCGUAGGCGGACAUUUAAGUCAGGGGUGAAAUCCCGGGGCUCAACCACGGAACUGCCUUUGAUACUGGGUGUCUUGAGUAUGAGAGAGGUGUGUGGAACUCCGAGUGUAGAGGUGAAAUUCGUAGAUAUUCGGAAGAACACCAGUGGCGAAGGCGACACACUGGCUCAUUACUGACGCUGAGGCGCGAAAGCGUGGGGAGCAAACAGGAUUAGAAACCCCGGUAGUCC